MicroRNA precursor from Astatotilapia calliptera (eastern happy), 57 nucleotides. NCBI's taxonomy places the organism in Eukaryota, Metazoa, Chordata, Actinopteri, Cichliformes, Cichlidae. The record is from Ensembl.
CGUAAUGAGCUGUCUAGCUGCAGUCUGCAUGGCUUUGUAGAGACACAUCAUUAUAUC